GAUGAACGCUGGCGGCGUGCCUAAUACAUGCAAGUCGAGCGAACAGACGAGGAGCUUGCUCCUCUGAUGUUAGCGGCGGACGGGUGAGUAACACGUGGAUAACCUACCUAUAAGACUGGGAUAACUUCGGGAAACCGGAGCUAAUACCGGAUAACAUGUUGAACCGCAUGGUUCAACAGUGAAAGACGGUCUUGCUGUCACUUAUAGAUGGAUCCGCGCCGCAUUAGCUAGUUGGUAAGGUAACGGCUUACCAAGGCAACGAUGCGUAGCCGACCUGAGAGGGUGAUCGGCCACACUGGAACUGAGACACGGUCCAGACUCCUACGGGAGGCAGCAGUAGGGAAUCUUCCGCAAUGGGCGAAAGCCUGACGGAGCAACGCCGCGUGAGUGAAGAAGGUCUUCGGAUCGUAAAACUCUGUUAUUAGGGAAGAACAAAUGUGUAAGUAACGAUGCACGUCUUGACGGUACCUAAGCAGAAAGCCACGGCUAACUACGU
RNAcentral lists this ribosomal RNA (496 nucleotides) under uncultured bacterium. Its description in RNAcentral is "partial 16S ribosomal RNA". It matches the Rfam family "Bacterial small subunit ribosomal RNA", at positions 28 to 506 of the family's 1533-position model. The record is from RNAcentral.